UCAGCGACUUAUAUUCUGUAGCAAGGUUAACCGAAUAGGGGAGCCGGAGGGAAACCGAGUCUUAAUUGGGCGUUAAGUUGCAGGGUAUAGACCCGAAACCCGGUGAUCUAGCCAUGGGCAGGUUGAAGGUUGGGUAACACUAACUGGAGGACCGAACCGACUAAUGUUGAAAAAUUAGCGGAUGACCUGUGGCUGGGGGUGAAAGGCCAAUCAAACCGGGAGAUAGCUGGUUCUCCCCGAAAGCUAUUUAGGUAGCGCCUCGUGAAUUCAUCUCCGGGGGUAGAGCACUGUUUCGGCUAGGGGGCCAUCCCGGCUUACCAACCCGAUGCAAACUGCGAAUACCGGAGAAUGUUAUCACGGGAGACACACGGCGGGUGCUAACGUCCGUCGUGAAGAGGGAAACAACCCAGACCGCCAGCUAAGGUCCCAAAGUCAUGGUUAAGUGGGAAACGAUGUGGGAAGGCCCAGACAGCCAGGAUGUUGGCUUAGAAGCAGCCAUCAUUUAAAGAAAGCGUAAUAGCUCACUGGUCGAGUCGGCCUGCGCGGAAGAUGUAACGGGGCUAAACCAUGCACCGAAGCUGCGGCAGCGACACUGUGUGUUGUUGGGUAGGGGAGCGUUCUGUAAGCCUGUGAAGGUGUGUCGUGAGGCAUGCUGGAGGUAUCAGAAGUGCGAAUGCUGACAUAAGUAACGAUAAAGCGGGUGAAAAGCCCGCUCGCCGGAAGACCAAGGGUUCCUGUCCAACGUUAAUCGGGGCAGGGUGAGUCGACCCCUAAGGCGAGGCCGAAAGGCGUAGUCGAUGGGAAACGGGUUAAUAUUCCCGUACUUGGUGUUACUGCGAAGGGGGGACGGAGAAGGCUAUGUUGGCCGGGCGACGGUUGUCCCGGUUUAAGCGUGUAGGUGUGUGUUCCAGGUAAAUCCGGUUCACUUUAACACUGAGGCGUGACGACGAGGCACUACGGUGCUGAAGCAACAAAUGCCCUGCUUCCAGGAAAAGCCUCUAAGCAUCAGGUAACAUCAAAUCGUACCCCAAACCGACACAGGUGGUCAGGUAGAGAAUACCAAGGCGCUUGAGAGAACUCGGGUGAAGGAACUAGGCAAAAUGGUGCCGUAACUUCGGGAGAAGGCACGCUGACACGUAGGUGAAGUGAUUUACUCAUGGAGCUGAAGUCAGUCGAAGAUACCAGCUGGCUGCAACUGUUUAUUAAAAACACAGCACUGUGCAAACACGAAAGUGGACGUAUACGGUGUGACGCCUGCCCGGUGCCGGAAGGUUAAUUGAUGGGGUCAGCGCAAGCGAAGCUCCUGAUCGAAGCCCCGGUAAACGGCGGCCGUAACUAUAACGGUCCUAAGGUAGCGAAAUUCCUUGUCGGGUAAGUUCCGACCUGCACGAAUGGCGUAAUGAUGGCCAGGCUGUCUCCACCCGAGACUCAGUGAAAUUGAACUCGCUGUGAAGAUGCAGUGUACCCGCGGCAAGACGGAAAGACCCCGUGAACCUUUACUAUAGCUUGACACUGAACAUUGAGCCUUGAUGUGUAGGAUAGGUGGGAGGCUUUGAAGUGUGGACGCCAGUCUGCAUGGAGCCGACCUUGAAAUACCACCCUUUAAUGUUUGAUGUUCUAACGUGGACCCGUUACCCGGGUUGCGGACAGUGUCUGGUGGGUAGUUUGACUGGGGCGGUCUCCUCCUAAAGAGUAACGGAGGAGCACGAAGGUUGGCUAAUCCUGGUCGGACAUCAGGAGGUUAGUGCAAUGGCAUAAGCCAGCUUGACUGCGAGCGUGACGGCGCGAGCAGGUGCGAAAGCAGGUCAUAGUGAUCCGGUGGUUCUGAAUGGAAGGGCCAUCGCUCAACGGAUAAAAGGUACUCCGGGGAUAACAGGCUGAUACCGCCCAAGAGUUCAUAUCGACGGCGGUGUUUGGCACCUCGAUGUCGGCUCAUCACAUCCUGGGGCUGAAGUAGGUCCCAAGGGUAUGGCUGUUCGCCAUUUAAAGUGGUACGCGAGCUGGGUUUAGAACGUCGUGAGACAGUUCGGUCCCUAUCUGCCGUGGGCGCUGGAGAACUGAGGGGGGCUGCUCCUAGUACGAGAGGACCGGAGUGGACGCAUCACUGGUGUUCGGGUUGUCAUGCCAAUGGCACUGCCCGGUAGCUAAAUGCGGAAGAGAUAAGUGCUGAAAGCAUCUAAGCACGAAACUUGCCCCGAG
Molecule: ribosomal RNA, 2199 nt
Filed under: Salmonella enterica subsp. enterica serovar Enteritidis
Lineage: Bacteria; Pseudomonadati; Pseudomonadota; Gammaproteobacteria; Enterobacterales; Enterobacteriaceae
Description: partial 23S ribosomal RNA
Rfam family: Bacterial large subunit ribosomal RNA
Source: RNAcentral